This 1144-nucleotide ribosomal RNA is filed under the name fungal endophyte. Its description in RNAcentral is "eukaryotic LSU rRNA". The stretch from base 563 to 1144 matches the Rfam family "Eukaryotic large subunit ribosomal RNA", at positions 1 to 605 of the family's 3401-position model. Lineage: Eukaryota; Fungi. The record is from RNAcentral.
AUUGCUGGACUGUGCCCUCACGGGCGCAACCCCAGAUACCCUUUGUGAACUUAUACCUUUUAAUCGUUGCCUCGGCGCCGAGCCCGGGGAGGAAAACGAAGGAAGUUUCUUCUUUCUUUCGUGUUUUCCCCCUCCCCUCACCGUGCAGACGGUGCUGGAGCAGGCCCGCCGGCGGCCUACCAAACUCUCUGUUUUUAGAACGUACCUCUUCUGAGACUUAUAAACAAAAAAUGAAUCAAAACUUUCAACAACGGAUCUCUUGGUUCUGGCAUCGAUGAAGAACGCAGCGAAAUGCGAUAAGUAAUGUGAAUUGCAGAAUUCAGUGAAUCAUCGAAUCUUUGAACGCACAUUGCGCCCGCUGGAAUUCCAGCGGGCAUGCCUGUUCGAGCGUCAUUUCAACCCUCAAGCCUGGCUUGGUGUUGGGGCGCUACCCGUCAAACGGUAGGCCCUCAAAUUCAGUGGCGGGCUCGCUAAGAUUCUGAGCGUAGUAGUUUUAAAUCACCUCGCUCCGGAAGGAUUAGCGGUGCGCUUGCCGUAAAACCCCCCCUUCUCACUGAAAUUUUGACCUCGGAUCAGGUAGGAAUACCCGCUGAACUUAAGCAUAUCAAUAAGCGGAGGAAAAGAAACCAACAGGGAUUGCCCUAGUAACGGCGAGUGAAGCGGCAACAGCUCAAAUUUGAAAUCUGGCCUCGGCCCGAGUUGUAAUUUGCAGAGGAUGCUUCUGGCGCGGUGCCUUCCGAGUUCCCUGGAACGGGACGCCACAGAGGGUGAGAGCCCCGUAUGGUCGGACACCAAGCCUGUGUGAAGCUCCUUCGACGAGUCGAGUAGUUUGGGAAUGCUGCUCAAAAUGGGAGGUAAAUCUCUUCUAAAGCUAAAUACCGGCCAGAGACCGAUAGCGCACAAGUAGAGUGAUCGAAAGAUGAAAAGCACCUUGAAAAGGGGGUUAAACAGUACGUGAAAUUGUUGAAAGGGAAGCGCUUGUGACCAGACUUGCGCCGGGCGGUUCAUCCGGGGUUCUCCCCGGUGCACUCCGCCCGGUUCAGGCCAGCAUCGGUUUUCGUUGGGGGAUAAGAACGGCAGGAACGUGGCCCUCCUUCGGGCGGGUGUUAUAGCCUGCCGUACGAUACCCUGACGGGGACCGAGG